UAGUCCACGCUGUAAACGAUGUCAACUAGCCGUCGGAUUCAUUUAAGGAUUAGGUGGCGAAGCUAACGCGAUAAGUUGACCGCCUGGGGAGUACGGCCGCAAGGUUAAAACUCAAAGGAAUUGACAGGGGCCCGCACAAGCGGUGGAGCAUGUGGUUUAAUUCGAUGCAACGCGAAGAACCUUACCAGCCCUUGACAUCCUCGGAACUUUCUAGAAAUAGGAAGGUGCCUUCGGGAACCGAGUGACAGGUGCUGCAUGGCUGUCGUCAGCUCGUGUCGUGAGAUGUUGGGUUAAGUCCCGUAACGAGCGCAACCCUUGUCCUUAGUUGCCAGCACUUCGGGUGGAACUCUAAGGAGACUGCCGGUGACAAACCGGNGGAAGGUGGGGAUGACGUCAAGUCAUCAUGGGCCCUUAUGGGGCUGGGGCUACACACGUGCUACAAUGGGUCGGUACAGACGGCUGCGAACCCGCGAGGGG
Molecule: ribosomal RNA, 477 nt
Filed under: uncultured bacterium
Lineage: Bacteria
Description: bacterial SSU rRNA
Rfam family: Bacterial small subunit ribosomal RNA
Source: RNAcentral